RNAcentral lists this long non-coding RNA (616 nucleotides) under Zonotrichia albicollis (white-throated sparrow). RNAcentral describes it as "lncRNA (ENSZALG00000007076.1)". Lineage: Eukaryota; Metazoa; Chordata; Aves; Passeriformes; Passerellidae. The record is from RNAcentral.
AUGAGAUGCUUUUAUUAGACAUUUUUAUUAGACCCAUGUCUAUCAAUGUACUGGGAAGGACCAAGCAAUCAAUUCUGCCUUGCCCUUGACUGUCCAGCAUGUCACUGAUAAUGGGCACAGUCACAAAGCAGCCAGUGUGAGUCAAAAGUUAAUUUGCCCAUCUCUCCAUUGCUCUUUGGAUGACUUUGGAUUGAUUUUGGGAACUAGAGUGGUUGAGGCUGUUAGCCUGCCAAAAGAGCCAUGGUGAACAACAAGAAAAUCUCCAGAUGUGCAAAAGGUUUCUGUGCUGCACAGUCCACAGGAGGAAAAUAACAAAACGUUCAGAAUAAAGAAGACCUCAUUUCCACAGGGAGAACGGAUUAUCCCAGAAGGUGCUAGAUGUCAAACAUCCCUAUCAGACAAGCGGGAAGCCUGGGUGGAAAAUGGUGGGACUGUCUGAGCACUGGAAAUAAGGAGCAACUGGGAUCAAAAGAGCCACAACGAAGAAACUCAGUAGAUUCUUCACUUCAGUCUUGAGCAAAUCUGGAAGAACCUUAUACAGUUUAAAAAGGAGGAGGUGCAUUCCUCAUGCCUCCCGGAGUCCAUUUCUGGGAGCCAUCUGCAGUCAUUUUUACAG